This 897-nucleotide ribosomal RNA is filed under the name Saccharomycopsis fibuligera. RNAcentral's name for it is "SSU rRNA". It matches the Rfam family "Eukaryotic small subunit ribosomal RNA", at positions 411 to 1325 of the family's 1831-position model. Lineage: Eukaryota; Fungi; Ascomycota; Saccharomycetes; Ascoideales; Saccharomycopsidaceae. The record is from RNAcentral.
CACAUCCAAGGAAGGCAGCAGGCGCGCAAAUUACCCAAUCCUGACACAGGGAGGUAGUGACAAUAUAUAACGAUGCAGGGCCCUUACGGGUCUUGUAAUUGGAAUGAGUACAAUUUAAAUACCUUAACGAGGAACAAUUGGAGGGCAAGUCUGGUGCCAGCAGCCGCGGUAAUUCCAGCUCCAAGAGCGUAUAUUACUGGUUUUAAAGUUGUUGCAGUUAAAAAGCUCGUAGUUGAACUUUGGGCUUGGCUGGCCGGUCUAUGGCGCGACGCAUUCCCACUCAGCCGAGCCUUUCCUCCUGGUUUCUGUGUAGUUGGGCUUGUCUCAGCUGCAUAUGAUCCAGGACUAUUACUUUGAUUAGAGUGUUCAAAGCAGGCGUUUAGCUAAUAAUGAAAUAGGACGUAUGGUUCUAUUUUGUUGGUUUCUAGGACCAUCGUAAUGAUUAAUAGGGACGGUCGGGGGCAUCAGUAUUCAAUUGUCAGAGGUGAAAUUCUUGGAUUUAUUGAAGACUAACUACUGCGAAAGCAUUUGCCAAGGACGUUUUCAUUAAUCAAGAACGAAAGUUAGGGGAUCGAAGAUGAUCAGAUACCGUCGUAGUCUUAACCAUAAACUAUGCCGACUAGGGAUCGGGUGUUGUUCUUUUACUGACUCACUCGGCACCUUACGAGAAAUCAAAGUUUUUGGGUUCUGGGGGGAGUAUGGUCGCAAGGCUGAAACUUAAAGGAAUUGACGGAAGGGCACCACCAGGAGUGGAGCCUGCGGCUUAAUUUGACUCAACACGGGGAAACUCACCAGGUCCAGACACAAUAAGGAUUGACAGAUUGAGAGCUCUUUCUUGAUUUUGUGGGUGGUGGUGCAUGGUUCAUUAGUUGGUGGAGUGAUUUGUCUGCUUAAUUG